AUAGAACCAGAAUAACUCCAAGGACGUUCCAAGGACAAUGGUUCAAGGGACCACUGCUCUCUCUAAUCCCUUGAAAACUGACUAUCUUGGAUUUUACCUCUGAACCUGCCCACUAGCCACAUGGGAAUGAGCCCGUUUUCAAGGUCCUCCAUGGAGCAACCGGCCAUCUCACCAUCCCAGGAGCCAAGAGGCAGCCCCAGCUGUGCGGGGUGAGGUGGGAGAUGCUCACUGAAGUAGGAAUGGGGCCUGCGUUCUCUCAGACGACUAUGAAGACAAGGGAGAACUGAGGAUCGCUCCAUCUGUUACACUGAGAACGGACUGCAGCGAGCCAGGGUGGAAGCAGGAGGCUGUCUGGAGUCUUCUGUAGUAACCCGGUGGAGAGAGCGUGCGACCGGGAGUCGGAACUAAAAAAGCAGUGCCUUUCAAAUCAAAACCACGAUGAGUUACCACCUCAUACCUGUUAGAACGGCGACUGUUAACAACCAAAACCACACCCAGAAAACACCAAGUGUUGGCAAGGACGCAGAGAAGUUGGCGCCCCGGUGUCCCGCUGGUAGGAAUGCGACAGUGUGGCAGUUUCUCAAAGUAUUAAAAAUAGAAUUACCGGA
Long non-coding RNA from Neofelis nebulosa (Clouded leopard), 608 nucleotides. RefSeq lists it as uncharacterized. The record is from RefSeq and is a predicted model, not a curated record. The transcript has 3 exons. Lineage: Eukaryota; Metazoa; Chordata; Mammalia; Carnivora; Felidae.